RNAcentral lists this ribosomal RNA (442 nucleotides) under uncultured bacterium. RNAcentral describes it as "bacterial SSU rRNA". It matches the Rfam family "Bacterial small subunit ribosomal RNA", at positions 338 to 795 of the family's 1533-position model. The record is from RNAcentral.
CCUACGGGUUGCAGCAGUGGGGAAUCUUGGACAAUGGGCGAAAGCCCGAACCAGCAAUAUCGCGUGAGUGAAGAAGGGCAAUGCCGCUUGUAAAGCUCUUUCGUCGAGUGCGCGAUCAUGACGGGACUCGAGGAAGAAGCCCCGGCUAACACCGUGCCAGCUGCCGCGGUAAGACGGGGGGGGCAAGUGUUCUUCGGAAUGACUGGGCGUAAAGGGCACGUAGGCGGAGAAUCGGGUUGAAAGGGAAAGUCGCCAAAAACUGGCGGAAGACUCUCGAAACCAAUUCACUUGAGUGAGACAGAGGAGAGUGGAAUUUCGUGUGUAGGGGUGAAAUCCGGAGAUCUACGAAGGAACGCCAAAAGCGAAGGCAGCUCUCUGGGUCCCUACCGGCGCUGGAGUGCGAAAGCAUGGGGAGCGAACGGGAUUAGAUACCCUCGUAGUC